Molecule: small nuclear RNA, 107 nt
Organism: Choloepus didactylus (southern two-toed sloth)
Lineage: Eukaryota; Metazoa; Chordata; Mammalia; Pilosa; Megalonychidae
Source: RefSeq, a predicted model, not a curated record
AUGCUCGCUUCUGCAGCACAUAUACUAAAAUUGGAAUGAUACACAGAAGAUUAGCAUGGCCCCUGGCCAAGGAAGAUAUGCAAAUUCAUGAAGGGGUCUAUAUUCUU